UCCUGCGGGGCUCGGGCCGCGGGGCCGCGCCGCUCCCGGGACUCGGCAGCGAAGGACGGGGACGGGAAGAAAAAGGAAAAAAGCAGAGCCACCGGACCAUGGCCGUAGUCGGCAGGAUUCGAACCUGCGCGGGGAGACCCCAAUGGAUUUCUAGUCCAUCGCCUUAACCACUCGGCCACGACUACGUAUGCUAUAAAGUGCUUUCCCACCUUCUCAUGACUGGUUACCCGAGAAGAAGCAUGGAUGGAGCUUGGGUCUGUCUCCUCAUGAGGGUCAGUGAAAGGUUUAAAAUAGAGGUUAGACUUAAUGCGUCUGUCAGUUGGCUAGGCUGGAUAUUAGUCUGUUUAGAGCAUAACCAAACGGUUAGGCCUUGCUAAGUCCCGCGGGAAAAGCCUUUUAAAAAUUUUUUAAAAAAUUUAUUUCUUGUUUUGUUUUUGGUGUAGAUUAGAAGCAGCUGUGGACAGAGCGGCCUCAGUCCCCUUAAAACCAGGAACACUCCCCAGCUGGCAUCCCCAGUGCUCAGGAGUGCCCGGAGCAGGCAUUUUUGACGAAAGGCCUAUAGAGGUGGCUGUUGCCUAUUGCCCUGUUAAUAAAUCCAGCCAAACGUAGGAGGUGUCAGUCACCAGUGUUCCAAUGCCAGCUCCACCUCUCCCCCCCUCAGAGAAAUACGAGAGGUGAGGUGUCCCGAGGUGGACACACCACCCACAGUGCCAGUGAAUGCUGUAUAUUAUUAUAUAUUUUUUAGAAAUAUAAUGAAGACAUUUAGAGAGAGGUCCUGUUAAGCUAAACAGAGCAUUGCCACUUUUCCUUAGGUCAGCUGAGAUGGAAAACACAGUGCUUGUACAUUCCCAUUGCCAAGAUAGCUCAAAAUUUGUCAGCCUGUGAUGAAAUGGAGUCUGCUGUCCUUAGGAGCUCCAAGCAAAGCCUCUCAAUAACAAGGUAUUUUUAUAAUUCUCUGGGUAUUUCAAUUAAUGAGUUGCAAGCCCUGUCCAAAUUCCCUCGUACUUAAGCUUGUAUUUCAUUGUUCCAUUUUCCUCCCCACAUAUCUCGGGUCACUGUUAAUACCCCCACCCGAUCCAUGGCAGUGCUGCUGGGGGAGAUAUUUUGGGUAGAAGGGUUGUGAGCCUUUGCUGGGUUGAUGUGAUGGAAGAAACUAAAUAGUGUUGAUGCUGCUCCAGCUCUUUUAAGUGGUCCCUUGGCCAGGACUCUGUGUCAUGUAGGUAAAUUCAAUCCAGAAGAAGUGGAUUUUUGGGUGGAAUUUUUACAUUCAUCUCUUGCAGCUGUGGAGAGUUUAAACUAAUCACAAUUCUCCCCAGUAUGCUAUCAUCUCUAUAAUUUGAAAAAGGAUCAGGAGCCCACAGGCUUGGAAAAUCUUGAAGAAACUCUUGUCCUGAAAUACAUCAUCACAUGUGGAAAAGACCACUUGCUGCAUCAUCUUAAAGGAGCUUAAGAAUGCCGAAAUCCAGUAUCAUUCUGGCAUUCUUUCAAAUGGCCUUAGAAAUCUGAGUACAUUCUCUUUUGACUGCAAAACAGCUUCUUUCCCUUUCCAUCAAUCCUGUGGCUGUCAGUGUGUCUGUUGUAAGGUGCCAAAAAUGUAUGGAGUGUCUAUGCGAUAACGGUGCCAAAGUCAGGGGAGCCUCGAGGCCUUCUCCCAUGAACUCAUUGGAGCAUUUGCUCAGUUGGAAAGCAUUUGAAACCAAAAAGAAAAAAGGCACAGACCUUUAAAAAUUGUUGAACUCAAAAGAUUGGCUUAGUGCAGAUUGCUGCCUGCUGUUUAGAUCCUUGUUGUUCAAAACUUCUGAAAGGCCUGAUGCAAUCGAAGAGACUUACUGGGUCAAAUUGAUUCCAGACUAGCCCCUGGAAUCACAGAGGUGAAUCUGACAUACUGGGCCUUCAGCUAAGCUGUGGCCAGAAGAAAGGAAUUGAGGUCAUGCCCUGAGUUUUGUCCUCUCCUAGGAAAUCAGUGAAGUGUGUUGUUCAAAUCAUGUCUCCUACUGACUGUUUGGGUGCAAAUGGAAAGGUUACUGAUUGCUGAGGGCUGGAAAAGUACAGAAUGACCACUUUGACAAUGAUGGCUCUUUUUUUUUUUUUUUUUUUCCCCUUAAUAUACUAUCUCAAUAUAUCCUUAGGAAGAGAGGACAGAAAGCUGGAAGGCUGUCCUGGGUGGAAGCCAUAAUGUUCUCUAAUCUUCAAGCUACUGAAAGCUUUCUCAGUGGUGCUGAUAAAACUGGAUUUUGCCACAACAGUGACGAAGACAAAAAAACCUUUCAAGGCAGGAUGUUAAUUUCCCUCUUCUGUUUUCUCUAGGAACCAAGGUAAGCCUAAAUUGAGGUUGACCAGAACUCUUCUCAGUCCUCUUCUCUGAACAAUGGACUCUCCAUGGCUCAGCAAUGAUAAGAGGUCAUCAGAGCCAGGCUCAGAUGAAAGUAAAAUGGUCAGUUAAGUGAAUUGGACUAUCUGUAGAAGAACAGUGCCUGUCAGUAAGCCAGCCCAUACUGACCAGGUGCUCCCAGGAUGUGUCCUAGGUGGCAUUCCUCCUCCACGACCAAGUUUGUCACACCAGGUCCUGGGGCCCUGGUGCCACUGGCCCAGGGAGGGCUGUGCUCCAUUGUGAGCACAAGGGCUGCUGCAUUUGCUGCUGAAAGUAAACUGGAUGUCAAGCACUUUUCCCAUCUGGCAUCUAUUAAAAUAAUGUGUAUGAGCAUGUGUGUGUGUGUGUGUUAUAUGUAUUUGCACGUGUGUAUUUGUGUGUAUAAAAUAUAGGCAUGGUCUCUGAUUUCAAAUAUAGAACAAAAUGAAUGUUUCAAAUUAUGUUUUAAUUUUGGCUUUUUUGUUAACUGGAAAGAUCUUUUAUUUUAGCAUUUGUGCAAACUAUUUUACUUAACAUAUUAUCUGUAACACAUUGCAUAAGCAUGACUCUUAUCUGCGUUAGUCAUCACUUUAGACCAUGGAAUAUAACUCAUGGCAGUCUGGAUUUAAUGAAUGUUUGAAUUAACCUAUACCUAAUUUCUUGUGUUUUAAAACCUAAAUCUCAUUGAAAGCUGAGCUUUGUUUACUUCCCAAAAUUGAUCUGAGGGCCAUUUGGAACACUUAGUGUAUUCUAAAAUGUGAUCGUAUCAACAAUACACACUCAAGUUUGUUUUAAAGUGAGUUUUUCUUUCCUAGUUUACAUAAAUCAUUUAAAAAAAUCGUUCACUUUUUUGGAUCAUAAUGUACUCACUUGGCUUUUAGAUCUACAUAGCUCACAGACCAAUUUUUCAAACAGGAUUCUAAAGCUAUUUGUGGAUUACUCUCUGUUUGCUACUUGUAAUCUGCAUUCCUGAGGCAAGCAUGCUAAAACGACUGAGGAUUUUCAUCGAGCUAAGUGAUUAUACUAAAUAGGGCAAUUUUGGGUGCUCUUAGCUUCUAUGUUUAAAAAUACAAUACAGAAGAAACCAACACCACAUUUUCUGUUAAACCACAGAGGGCACUGUUUGUUCUUAAUAUAAAAUGACCCUGCUACAUAGACUCUUGUCAGUCUUCAUUAAGCAAUAAAUGUUAAGAACUUUAACUUUUUUCUCUUUUUUUUUUUUUUUUUUUUUUUUUUUUUUUUUUUUUUUUUUUUUUUUUUUUUUUCUUUCUUCUAUUUAAAAGUUAACCAGGUGUAUUACACUUCUGCAGACUGUCAUGUUCUUCCAGUGUUUGGUACCAGAUACUGCCCUGGUCCAUCCCUCCUCUCCUUACUGCUCCAUCACACCACUGGGGUAGAGAGUUUCCUCUCCAUCAAUAGGUCUGGAGAUGGAGUGCAGGAAACUGCCUUGUGAUUGUUUAAUGGUUAAUUAGCACUCUACAUUUUUACUUGCUCUUUACUUUAAAGUAUUGGAGAAAGGGAAUCAAGGCAGCACUGGCAACAGUUGAAGUGUUAACUCCUAAUAUUUCUCCUCUGGUGCUUUCAAUCAGGAUGGAGUAAAGGAAACAGAGAAACAGUGAGUUUGAAAAUCAAUUGGCUAUGCCAGUUUUGCAAUGAUUGUUUAUUCUGAACAAAAUAUGAUGACAAUUUCAGUUUUCUCAAAAGAAAAAUUUUCCAAAAUGCCUGACGCAGAAAAAGCAAUAGCAAAAUUUACAGGUUUUGCUAAAUAUAAAGUGUUGGUUGGUUGGUUUUUUUUUUUUUUUCCAUUCUAUGUAAUUGUUUGUUUGUUUGUUUCUGUAAAACAUGCUGGGAAAAAAAUUAGAUUUCCUGUGAAACAAAUUUGGGACUUGUUUUGUCUUGGAAUUUUGUUGAUACAAAUUUGCCUUAGAUCAUUGUACAGAACAUCACACAGAGAAAUGAUAAAAUGUUUAUAAUAUGAAAAUCCUCAUAGAUUAAAGGAAAUAAAUAAAAAGUAGAAAUUGUGAAAACUGUCAGUGGAAAAGUUCUUGUUCACUUGUGGCUCUGUUAACUAUUGUGCAAAUUUAGGACUUUUAAGAAACUAUAAAGUAUUACUUCAGUUGCUAUUGAUUCAAUUAAAGGUGUAUUUUAGAAGUUUCUCUCUCUCUCCAACAGUGACCCUUAUGAACUGUGCUCCUUAAUUUCAUUUCUUGUUUGUUUGAGGCCUGCAUAACUUCUGGGAUAAUUUUUUUCCAUUUUACUUUCCCAACCGGUGUAUAAAGCUGGUGCUGAUAUCUUGGAGUGCUUUGCAGCUCUUGAUGACACACUGCACUGGUCUUAGCCAGACACAACAGGUUUUGCUUUGUCUUUUUUGUGCCGGGCCAAAGACUCAUUUAGGACACAAAUGGCUGCUCAUUUUGCAAGCACUUGAAAAGGACUGCCAAAAUUAUAGAUGUCUCUGGAAAACAGGGUUGCUGAGGAUCCCCUGAUGGGCUUUAGGCAGCUUGUGAUUUUAUCACUGGGCAAUCUAUUACAGUGCUAAAUUAUCUAAUGUUGCCUUUUUUUUUUUAAUAUUCAGGUUGAAUCCCUCUUGUUCCAAUUUACAUCUGGUGUCUCUAAUCUUCCUGACAUGUCCCAAAACAGACCCUUGAGGAACUCCUCACCAGCCUCUAUUUAGGGUACUACUCAGUAACAACUACCCUUUGAAAUGGACAAUUCAAACAGUUUUUUCUCCACCUUGUAGUGCAGCCAUCAGGAUGGUGAAGGGUCACUUUGGAUAUAGGGAGGCUGAGGAAGCCAUGCUGAGAGUGUUGUUAAAGGAACACUUCCUCCACUGGGAAAUGAUUCAUGAGAAGGGUGCUGUUCUUGAGGCUAUAUUUAAAGAGACAAUUUGUAAGAGAGCUAGUGGAGACUGUCCAGAGAAAUUGAAUUUGAAUUGAAUACAUAGAAAUUCCUUUCUGAGUGUAGUUCAAUCUGAUCAUCCCUUGCUACAAGGCCAAAGGUGAUAAAUUUUUGCAGGUUUCUUUUAAAGUAUUCAGGAGUAAAGGUCUAAACUUUUUAAAGUAACCUGAAUAGUAGAUUAUCUAUACCAUCAAACAGGCAAACUCUGCUGCACAGCUGGAGUGUUACUUUCCUUGAAGGCACUACUAGGGGCAAGGACAUUAUCUUGCCAGUGAGGUUACAUGCUUUGUAUGUGUUUAAGGAUUGGGUCUGCAUUACCAUGGGAUAGUUAUAAAAACAUGCUGAUAGUUCUGCAGAAGAAUUUGAUUUUUCAAAAUGUUCUUCCUUGCCUGUCUGAUUUUCAAAAACUGGAAACAUAAUCUGGGAA
Molecule: long non-coding RNA, 5675 nt
Organism: Prinia subflava (tawny-flanked prinia)
Lineage: Eukaryota; Metazoa; Chordata; Aves; Passeriformes; Cisticolidae
Exons: 3
Source: RefSeq, a predicted model, not a curated record